RNAcentral lists this ribosomal RNA (217 nucleotides) under uncultured fungus. Its description in RNAcentral is "partial small subunit ribosomal RNA". The stretch from base 95 to 217 matches the Rfam family "Eukaryotic small subunit ribosomal RNA", at positions 739 to 864 of the family's 1831-position model. Lineage: Eukaryota; Fungi. The record is from RNAcentral.
CGGCCGGCUAGUGUGGGUCCACCGAAAGGUGCGUACUCGCGCGCCGGUCGUUACUUUCCGGCUCCGGCCGGUGCCCUUCAGUGGGUGCCGGAUCGUGACUGGGACUUUUACCUUGAGUAAAUUAGAGUGUUCAAGGCAGGCCAAAGCUUGAAUACAUUAGCAUGGGAUAAUAAAAUAGGACUUUGGUUCUAUUUUGUUGGUUUUAAAGGACCAAGUA